CCGGGGGAGCCCCGGGGUUUAUGUCCCACAUCACCCCCUCCCCAAAAUCAGCCGCGCUGCCAGAGCCCCCCGGGGAUGAGGAGUUGGGGGUGGGGGUCCUCCUUCCCCCCCGUGCGGGUGACAGACGGACGCACAGACACACCCCAGACUCGCACACGGGCUGUGCCUCCAGCGCGUUCUGCAGGGGAUGCUGACACCCCUCCUGUGCUGGUUUGCCCUCCGCAGGUGCUUCCCCUGCCACACUGGCUCAGCUUGCCAAGGAAAAGAAGAACCUCACUGAUUGAUUCCCUUGGAUGUGACCAUCUGUCCCAGCAGCACAUGUCCCAUCUCUUGGCAUGUCCUGCACCACACCCCUGCUGGGGCACCCGUGGGACUCUGCCCUCUGCUCCUUGCACAUCCCACCAGGUCUGGUUUAGGUGGAUCACCUGCAGAACCAGGUCUGGUUUAGGUGGAUCACCUGCAGAACCAGGUCUGGUUUAGGUGGAUCACCUGCAGAACCAGGUCUUUUUUAGGUGAACCACCUGCAGCACCAGGUCUUUCCAACACUCUCCAACCCACGAGGAGGAAAAUCCCCUUGUCGAAUUCCCAGGAUUCUGUGCCACAGUCCUGUCUCUCAGCUCAGCAUCCUCUUUUUAAUCACCCUCAUUUGCUGUAUCCAGUGACACAACCACAUCCAUGCUCUCCUCAGCCCUCGAAGAGAAAAUUUGGGUUUCCAGCCCUGCGGGUGUGCCAGCCUUUUGUGCAGGAGUAGCUGGACAAGGACCACGCCUCCUCCCCCUCCUCUGUGUCGUGCUGGGCAGAGAAAAAGGCUGCCAGAACCCAAGAAAUAAUAAAAACAGACAAAGCCAGGGCUGAGAUGUUCUGUUUCAGAGCAAUGACAGAAAGUGGAGGUGAGGCUAAAAUGAAUAAACUCCAGUUAUUGAUCCUGUUUGUUUUGAA
Molecule: long non-coding RNA, 939 nt
Organism: Vidua macroura (Pin-tailed whydah)
Lineage: Eukaryota; Metazoa; Chordata; Aves; Passeriformes; Viduidae
Exons: 3
Source: RefSeq, a predicted model, not a curated record